Molecule: unclassified non-coding RNA, 226 nt
Filed under: Hevea brasiliensis (rubber tree)
Lineage: Eukaryota; Viridiplantae; Streptophyta; Magnoliopsida; Malpighiales; Euphorbiaceae
Source: RNAcentral
GUCAUGCAUUGGCAAUACUCCCAACUUUCCUCCCAAAAAAUAAUAUCAUAGAUGUCACAUGAAUGGCGACCAACCUGCAAAUAUCCAUUCAACUAGCAAAAGAUGCUCCAAUGCUAUUUUUUCAAGAAGCAAUAUGAUUUCAAUUGCUCCUUUAACAACAGAAAUGUACACCAUGCAUGCAGUAAACAUGCAAGAUGGAAGCUGAUGCAUACAUUUUAUAUCAUCA